Sapajus apella (tufted capuchin) is the source of this 493-nucleotide long non-coding RNA. RefSeq lists it as uncharacterized. The transcript is spliced from 3 exons. NCBI's taxonomy places the organism in Eukaryota, Metazoa, Chordata, Mammalia, Primates, Cebidae. The record is from RefSeq and is a predicted model, not a curated record.
GAUGGAAUUUUGCUAAUGUGUCCAAGAAGGAAAUAUGAUUUCACAUGCAUAUUAUAUGCAAGUUUAUGAAUGCAGUCACAGUGUCUGGAACCUGGGUAGGAAACUAUGAUGAAAAUCAGUGAAGUAAAAUAUCAAAAUAAAACAUUGCAUGACAACUUCUAAUGGGGAGCAAUGCUGGCACUUUUAAUAAAACCACUUGGGAAUAUUAACGUGAUACGUAAGUGGCUGAAGGGUUCUAAAUUUCCCUGGUGAUAUUCAUACAUCACAAAGUGAAUGUUAACUGGCAAUAACUCAAGAAAUGGCGUGUUUAGCAUACCAGUGAGAUGCCGGGGUUGUGAUCACCAACGGUAAAUUAUAACGUUUUACUUUGAGUCAGAAUUCCAAAGAAGAAGAAAGGAAUUCCUCAGUGAUGUAGGAUAAUUUUAUAACUGAAGUGUCAUCAACUUUCUUGUUAAUGGGACAUGGAUGAAUCUGAAAACCAUAGUUCUCAGCA